RNAcentral lists this ribosomal RNA (1197 nucleotides) under Pseudaesopia japonica (wavyband sole). RNAcentral's name for it is "partial 16S ribosomal RNA". It matches the Rfam family "Bacterial large subunit ribosomal RNA", at positions 591 to 2558 of the family's 2925-position model. Lineage: Eukaryota; Metazoa; Chordata; Actinopteri; Pleuronectiformes; Soleidae. The record is from RNAcentral.
AUUAAACCUCGUACCUUUUGCAUCAUGAUUUAGCCAGCAUAACUCAAGCGAAGCGACCUUUAGUUUGAGACCCCGAAACUGAGUGAGCUACUCCAAGCCAGCCUAUCUAAUUAAGGGCACACCCGUCUCUGUGGCAAAAGAGUGGGAAGAGCUUCGAGUAGGGGCGAUAAACCUACCGAACUCAGUUAUAGCUGGUUGCCUGAGAAAUGAAUAUUAGUUCAGCCUCUUACCUUCUUCCAAAGAAAAGAGAGUUAGUCAAAGGGGGGACAGCCCCUUUGAAACAGACACAACUUUACCAGGAGGGUAAGGAUCAAACUCAACCAAGGAGUCACCCCUAAGUUGGCCUAAAAGCAGCCAUCUUUAAAGAAAGCGUUAAAGCUCAGACUACUUAUUCUGAUAACCUACUCCAAACCCCCUAACCCUACCAGGCCAUUCUAUUAACAUAGAAGCGACCAUGCUAGAAUGAGUAAUCAGGGAAGCCUCCCUCAAGUCGCAUGUGUAACUCGGAACGGACCCCCCACCGAAUAUUAACGGCCCCAAGCACAGAGGGCAAUAAAACUACCGCUAGAAAACCUUUUACCGUUAAACCAACACAGGAGCGCACCAAAUGAAAGACUAAAAGAAAGGGAAGGAACCCGGCAAACAAGCCUCGCCUGUUUACCAAAAACAUCGCCUCUUGCAAGAAUAAGAGGUCCUGCCUGCCCAGUGACACUUAGUUAAACGGCCGCGGUAUUCUGACCGUGCAAAGGUAGCGCAAUCACUUGUCUUUUAAAUGAAGACCUGUAUGAAUGGCAAGACGAAGGCUUAACUGUCUCCCCCCUCCAGUCAAUGAAAUUGAUCUCCCCGUGCAGAAGCGGGGAUAAACACAUAAGACGAGAAGACCCUGUGGAGCUUAAGACAACAAGACCAACCUGUCAAAAAUAACAAAACAAAGCUAAACGAACUAAAUGGCCCUGUCCUUGUGUCUUCGGUUGGGGCGACCAUGGGGAACUAAAAAACCCCCACGUGGAACAAGAGCACUCUCACAAACCAGAGGGACACCUCUAAUUAACAGAACUUCUGACCUAAAAUGACCCGGCUUAAGCCGAUCAACGAACCAAGUUACCCCAGGGAUAACAGCGCAAUCCCCUUCCAGAGCCCAUAUCGACAAGGGGGUUUACGACCUCGAUGUUGGAUCAGGACAUCCUAGUGGUGCAG